RNAcentral lists this ribosomal RNA (253 nucleotides) under uncultured bacterium. RNAcentral describes it as "partial 16S ribosomal RNA". It matches the Rfam family "Bacterial small subunit ribosomal RNA", at positions 524 to 776 of the family's 1533-position model. The record is from RNAcentral.
UACGUAGGGGGCUAGCGUUGUUCGGAAUUACUGGGCGUAAAGGGCGCGUAGGCGGCACUGUUAGUCAGGCGUGAAAUUCCUGGGCUCAACCUGGGGACUGCGCUUGAUACGGCAGAGCUUGAGGAUGGAAGAGGGUCGCGGAAUUCCCAGUGUAGAGGUGAAAUUCGUAGAUAUUGGGAAGAACACCGGUGGCGAAGGCGGCGACCUGGUCCAUUACUGACGCUGAGGCGCGACAGCGUGGGGAGCAAACAGG